CUGAUAUUUCAAGAUAUUCCAAAAACAAAAAAUAGGAUUGAUGAAGAUGGUGAACAACUCAGUCCCUUAGAUGUUCAUUAUUGCUUGCGAUCAUGCUCGCAAAUCAUUACAGGUCUGUAUGAAUCAUCACUGUUGUUCCGUACUUCCAUAGGCAACAAAUAUCAAAUCAUGAAUAUCAAAUAUGCAAUUAAAUUAGCUAAGAUAACAUAGAUUGGUAAAAUUAUGACAGGCUCACUUUUGCUUUAGGGGAAAGAAUCCAGUUGGAAAAGAACAGAUAUUGCCAACUGGAUAGCAAGCUUAAAUUCAUUUUAUUCAAUCUAAAACCCCAGUUCAUGAAAUUUAAC
Molecule: long non-coding RNA, 344 nt
Filed under: Olea europaea subsp. europaea
Lineage: Eukaryota; Viridiplantae; Streptophyta; Magnoliopsida; Lamiales; Oleaceae
Source: RNAcentral